RNAcentral lists this transfer RNA (71 nucleotides) under Bos indicus x Bos taurus (hybrid cattle). It matches the Rfam family "tRNA". Rfam says of the family: Transfer RNA (tRNA) molecules are approximately 80 nucleotides in length. Their secondary structure includes four short double-helical elements and three loops (D, anti-codon, and T loops). RNAcentral also lists the same sequence under 1 other name. Lineage: Eukaryota; Metazoa; Chordata; Mammalia; Artiodactyla; Bovidae. The record is from Rfam by way of RNAcentral.
CCCUGGCGGCUUUCAUGGUAAAGAGUCUGCCUGCAACGCAGGAGACCCAGGUUCGAUCCCUGGGUCAGGAA